CCUACGGGGGGCUGCAGUGGGGAAUAUUGGACAAUGGGCGAAAGCCUGAUCCAGCCAUGCCGCGUGUGUGAAGAAGGCCUUCGGGUUGUAAAGCACUUUCAGUGGGGAAGAAAGCCUUGGGGCUAAUACCCUCGAGGAAGGACAUCACCCACAGAAGAAGCACCGGCUAACUCCGUGCCAGCAGCCGCGGUAAUACGGAGGGUGCGAGCGUUAAUCGGAAUUACUGGGCGUAAAGCGCGCGUAGGCGGUCUGAUAAGCCGGUUGUGAAAGUCCCGGGCUCAACCUGGGAACGGCAUCCGGAACUGUCAGGCUAGAGUGCAGGAGAGGAAGGUAGAAUUCCCGGUGUAGCGGUGAAAUGCGUAGAGAUCGGGAGGAAUACCAGUGGCGAAGGCGGCCUUCUGGACUGACACUGACGCUGAGGUGCGAAAGCGUGGGUAGCAAACAGGAUUAGAUACCCAGUAGU
RNAcentral lists this ribosomal RNA (463 nucleotides) under Vreelandella stevensii. Its description in RNAcentral is "partial 16S ribosomal RNA". It matches the Rfam family "Bacterial small subunit ribosomal RNA", at positions 338 to 794 of the family's 1533-position model. The record is from RNAcentral. Lineage: Bacteria; Pseudomonadati; Pseudomonadota; Gammaproteobacteria; Oceanospirillales; Halomonadaceae.